RNAcentral lists this ribosomal RNA (543 nucleotides) under uncultured bacterium. RNAcentral's name for it is "bacterial SSU rRNA". It matches the Rfam family "Bacterial small subunit ribosomal RNA", at positions 777 to 1318 of the family's 1533-position model. The record is from RNAcentral.
AAUAGAUACCCCGGUAGUCCACGCCGUAAACGAUGAGUGCUAAGUGUUAGGGGGUUUCCGCCCCUUAGUGCUGCAGCUAACGCAUUAAGCACUCCGCCUGGGGAGUACGGUCGCAAGACUGAAACUCAAAGGAAUUGACGGGGGCCCGCACAAGCGGUGGAGCAUGUGGUUUAAUUCGAAGCAACGCGAAGAACCUUACCAGGUCUUGACAUCCCGCUGACCGGUCUAGAGAUAGACUUUUCCCUUCGGGGACAGCGGUGACAGGUGGUGCAUGGUUGUCGUCAGCUCGUGUCGUGAGAUGUUGGGUUAAGUCCCGCAACGAGCGCAACCCUUGAUCUUAGUUGCCAGCAUUCAGUUGGGCACUCUAAGGUGACUGCCGGUGAUAAACCGGAGGAAGGUGGGGAUGACGUCAAAUCAUCAUGCCCCCUAUGACCUGGGCUACACACGUGCUACAAUGGACGGUACAGAGGGUCGCAACCCCGCGGGGGUGAGCUAAUCCCAUAAAACCGUUCUCAGUUCGGAUUGUAGGCUGCAACUCGCCUA